UCUCUCUGUCUUUUAUUUUUUUUUAUUGUUUCUCAGUGCGUCUCGCGUCUUUCUUCCUUCAUCUCACCCAGGACUUGAAAAUUUCAGGGAAACACUUUUUCUCUCUUCAAAUUUCUUCUCUCUUCUUGAGUAUCAGGAACAUGGAUCAAAAUUUUUGGACUUUGGAGAGAGAAUCAAUGCCGAGAAGACCCGACUGCUCCGGUGACUUCGUGGCGGUUUCCGGCCACCGAUUGACUUGCAUGAGUCACCGUGUUCGUGAUUUCCGACGGCUUAAUACCAAAACAGAAUCAGAAACUUUACGAAUGGAGAAGAGAAAUUGAAUAAUGGUUUGUCAAACAACCCAAGGCCACCAAGCAUGAAUAUAUUGAUCGAAAGCAUUUACAAGUGCAUAGGUUGGUAUAAAUUGAAUGGGUUGUGAAGUUUGGAGGUGGGUCAAAUAGUGAUUGGGUGCCCUUAGUGUUUGCAGAUGAUAGGUGAUACAGCAGGACAGACCACCAAAGUAAUUCAAGAUGCCAAGCCCAUUGCUUCAUCAACUGUCGAGACCAUUUCACCAGUGGAUCCUGUCGUGAUUACUGGAACUGCUGGAGUAAUAUUCCUCACAUACUUCCUUCUUCCUCCAAUUUGGUCUGCUAUCUCUUUUAACCUCAGAUGAUACAAAGGUAGUACAAGCUUAUUGUGAUAUGAUAUUGCUUCAAGAAAAUCCAUAAAUCAACAAUUCAAGUACCUAGUCUUUGGAAGAUAUAAACCAGUUUAAAGAUUGCAUGUUUUCGGUUUUGGCUUAACAUACAUAAUUUUAUCAUCAUUUGAGGCUACAUAUUUGUUCUAACAUGGAUGUACUAAUAGCUAAUGUGCUAUGGUUGUCCUACUCAGGUGCCCUCACUCCUGCUCAAACCCUUGAAGAUUUUGUUUUGUGGUUCUGUUGUGCAGACUGUGAUUGAUAGAAUGUAAACAACAUGAGUGUUUUGAGAGAAUUUCUUGUGUAUUUCUUCUCUGAGUUCAAUAUCACAUUUACAUCAGGAGCAUAAGGUUGUGCUUUGACACUGAUGUGAGCAAAGACCUGCAUAGUGUCUAGUCUUGGAUCACUAUUGCCUCUCAAUCCCGUAUCAGGAUUGUUACCAAACUUCAAUCCUGUAGGUUUGAGAUCUUGAUAAGGAGUGUCAUCGAAUUCCAAUCCUAAAUUAGGAUUGUUUUUACUUUCCAGUCCUAUAUCCUUAACAGUGAUAAAUGCAGAUGAUUAAAGCAUGUUGCUAUUGCUGUCAUGUUUCUAUUACCCAACAUAAAGGAAAAGAAAGGCUGUGCAAGUCUUUAGGUCAAUUCAAUGGACCUUCUAGUAAGCCUUCUAGAAGUUUAGUUUGUAUCAGAAAGCAAUAGUUUGUAUGGGGAUCAAGAAAGCCUUCUAGUUUUUUUAGUUUGUAUCAGUUCGUUUGGUUUCUAGUGAAGUACUAUAUGUUUAUGUCUUCAUCUAUUUAGGUUUCCUGCUAUGUAUUCCCAUAUCUCAAAUUCUCAUAA
Rosa rugosa (rugosa rose) is the source of this 1509-nucleotide long non-coding RNA. RefSeq lists it as uncharacterized. The record is from RefSeq and is a predicted model, not a curated record. Lineage: Eukaryota; Viridiplantae; Streptophyta; Magnoliopsida; Rosales; Rosaceae. The transcript has 3 exons.